GACGAAGGUGGCUAGCGUUGUUCGGAAUUACUGGGCUUAAAGAGUACGUAGGCGGGUUGUCAAGCGUCUUGUGAAGGCCCUCGGCUCAACCGAGGAAUUGCUCGGCGAACUGACAGUCUUGAGGCAAUCAGGGGCACAUAGAACUCUUGGUGGAGCGGUGAUAUGCGUAGAUAUCAAGAGGAAUGCCGGUGGCGAAGGCGGUGUGCUGGGAUUGUCCUGACGCUGAGGUACGAAAGCCAGGGGAGCGAACGGG
This 253-nucleotide ribosomal RNA is filed under the name uncultured prokaryote. Its description in RNAcentral is "partial 16S ribosomal RNA". It matches the Rfam family "Bacterial small subunit ribosomal RNA", at positions 524 to 776 of the family's 1533-position model. The record is from RNAcentral.